CACGCCCUGACUAUAAUAAAACAAAUAUAUAAUAACAGAACUAAGAAAAUGAAGAAUGGAUAGGACACUUGUCCUCCUCCAAGCAUCAGUGACCUCCAGGAACAGUAGCCUAUCCUUUUCACCAAGUUAUGGCUCUGCGACCACUUCAAUACUUGUGAUUGACAGUCACCUGACUCAAGCUCUCCUGAACAAGGGUCUGCGAGAAAGUGUGUAACAUGUGGGUCAAUUGGCAAUGGCUUCCUCUGAACGAACUUUCCGGUCUUGCGGCUCGCUUCUGCUUUAGCUGUGAAUUUGGUUCCUUCAGGGUUUAUUCGAACCAGGAACCUGCACAACCCAACAUGGAAUAUAUUAAAUCAGUUGGGGCAUUGAAAAUGAUCUGCUUGCUCCAUCCCAGAGCCUGUGUUGGCUUGUGGUAGCAUGCUACUCUGGCUCCAGUCUAGCCCUGCUUGCUCCUUUCUAUCCGUCCUUCUCUCAGCCCCUUUUUCUCUCGAUCUCUCUUUCUCUCAUUUCUUUCUCAAAGACAGGCAGGCAAGCAGUUCUUGUUGUAGUUUUUUGUCAAAAUGUCUUCAUUUUCUACUGUUGUUUUCCUAUUUUUUAUUGAUCUGUUUAGAUUUCUUCUUUUUUUUACAUAAUCCUGUAUUUUCAAGA
This is a long non-coding RNA of Oncorhynchus gorbuscha (pink salmon), 648 nucleotides long. RefSeq lists it as uncharacterized. The transcript has 3 exons. NCBI's taxonomy places the organism in Eukaryota, Metazoa, Chordata, Actinopteri, Salmoniformes, Salmonidae. The record is from RefSeq and is a predicted model, not a curated record.